GAUGAACGCUGGCGGCGUGCCUAAUACAUGCAAGUCGAGCGAAUGGAUUAAGAGCUUGCUCUUAUGAAGUUAGCGGCGGACGGGUGAGUAACACGUGGGUAACCUGCCCAUAAGACUGGGAUAACUCCGGGAAACCGGGGCUAAUACCGGAUAACAUUUUGAACCGCAUGGUUCGAAAUUGAAAGGCGGCUUCGGCUGUCACUUAUGGAUGGACCCGCGUCGCAUUAGCUAGUUGGGGAGGUAACGGCUCACCAAGGCGACGAUGCGUAGCCGACCUGAGAGGGUGAUCGGCCACACUGGGACUGAGACACGGCCCAGACUCCUACGGGAGGCAGCAGUAGGGAAUCUUCAGCAAUGGACGAAAGUCUGACGGAGCAACACCGCGUGAGUGAUGAAGGCUUUCGGGUCGUAAAACUCUGUUGUUAGGGAAGAACAAGUGCUAGUUGAAUAAGCUGGCACCCUGACGGUACCUAGCCAGAAAGCCACGGCUAACUACGUGCCAGCCGCCGCUGUAA
RNAcentral lists this ribosomal RNA (515 nucleotides) under uncultured bacterium. Its description in RNAcentral is "partial 16S ribosomal RNA". It matches the Rfam family "Bacterial small subunit ribosomal RNA", at positions 28 to 523 of the family's 1533-position model. The record is from RNAcentral.